RNAcentral lists this unclassified non-coding RNA (399 nucleotides) under soil metagenome. RNAcentral's name for it is "partial contains 5.8S ribosomal RNA, internal transcribed spacer 2, and large subunit ribosomal RNA". The stretch from base 1 to 122 matches the Rfam family "5.8S ribosomal RNA", at positions 35 to 154 of the family's 154-position model. The record is from RNAcentral.
GAUGAAGAACGCAGCGAAAUGCGAUACUUGGUGUGAAUUGCAGAAUCCCGUGAACCAUCGAGUCUUUGAACGCAAGUUGCGCCCGAAGCCAUCAGGUUGAGGGCACGUCUGCCUGGGCGUCACAUAUCGUUGCUCGAUGCCUAUCGCAUUGCGAUAGGACUUAGGGCGAAUGAUGGCUUCCCGUGAGCGUUGUUGCCUCGCGGUUGGUUGAAAAUCGAGUGCAUGGUGUCGGGUGUACCAUGAUGGAUGGUGGUUGAGUGAUGAUGCUCGAGACCAAUCAUGGGUAACUCCACCAGAAUUGGGCUCGGUGACCCACAUGCGUCCCUUGGAUGCUCCCUAAGGAGACCUCAGGUCAGGCGGGGCUACCCGCUGAGUUUAAGCAUAUCAAUAAGCGGAGGA